Molecule: ribosomal RNA, 252 nt
Filed under: uncultured bacterium
Lineage: Bacteria
Description: partial 16S ribosomal RNA
Rfam family: Bacterial small subunit ribosomal RNA
Source: RNAcentral
CGAGGCCGCGAGGUGGAGCAAAUCCCAAAAAUAAACGUCCCAGUUCGGACUGCAGUCUGCAACUCGGCUGCAUGAAGCUGGAAUCGCUAGUAAUCGCGGAUCAGAAUGCCGCGGUGAAUACGUUCCCGGGUCUUGUACACACCGCCCGUCACACCAUGGGAGCCGGGAAUGCCCGAAGUCAGUGGCCCAACCGCAGGGAGGGAGCUGCCGAAGGCAGGCCUGGUGACUGGGGUGAAGUCGUAACAAGGUAGC